GACGAACGCUGGCGGCGUGCUUAACACAUGCAAGUCGAACGGAAAGAGCUCUCUUGGUGGGUACUCGAGUGGCGAACGGGUGAGUAAUACGUGAGUAACCUGCUGUUUAUUUUGGAAUAACUUCAGGAAACUGGGGCUAAUACCGAAUAGGAGCUCCUGCUGCAUGGUGGGGGUUGGAAAGUUUAGGCUGUUGGGGAUGGAUUCGCGGCUUAUCCGCUUGUUGGUGGGGUAGUGGUUUACCAAGGCUUUGACGGGUCGCCGGACUGAGAGGGUGACAGGCCGCAUUGAGACUGAGGUACGGCCCAGACGCCUACGGUAGGCAGCAGUGGGGAAUAUUGCACCAUGGGUGGAAGCCUGAUGCAGCAGCGCCGUGGGCGGGAUGACGGCCUUCGGGUUGUGAACCGCUAUCACUCAAGCAGAAGCUUUGUGUGACGGUAGUGGGUAAAUAAGCACCGGCUAACUACGUG
RNAcentral lists this ribosomal RNA (467 nucleotides) under uncultured bacterium. Its description in RNAcentral is "partial 16S ribosomal RNA". It matches the Rfam family "Bacterial small subunit ribosomal RNA", at positions 28 to 507 of the family's 1533-position model. The record is from RNAcentral.